RNAcentral lists this ribosomal RNA (443 nucleotides) under uncultured bacterium. RNAcentral describes it as "partial 16S ribosomal RNA". It matches the Rfam family "Bacterial small subunit ribosomal RNA", at positions 338 to 795 of the family's 1533-position model. The record is from RNAcentral.
CCUACGGGAGGCAGCAGUGGGGAAUAUUGCACAAUGGGGGGAACCCUGAUGCAGCAAUGCCGCGUGAAGGAUGAAGGUUUUCGGAUUGUAAACUUCUUUUGUACGGGACGAAGAAAGUGACGGUACCGUAAGAAUAAGCCAAGGCUAACUACGUGCCAGCAGCCGCUGUGAUACGUAGGUGGCAAGCGGUAUACGGAGUUACUGGGUGUAAAGGGCGAGGAGGCGGGAUUGGAAGUCAGAUGUGAAAACUAUGGGCUCAACCGAUAGAGUGCAUUUGAAACUGAAGUUCUUGAGGGGGCGAGAAGUAUGCGGAAUGCGUGGUGUAGCGGUGAAAUGCAGAGAGAUCACGCAGAACUCCGAUUGCGAAGGCAGCAUACCGGCGCCAGACUGACGCUGAGGCACGAAAGCGUGGGGAUCGAACAGGAUUAGAUACCCGGGUAGUC